This 36719-nucleotide long non-coding RNA is filed under the name Vitis vinifera (wine grape). RNAcentral describes it as "long non-coding RNA (VVIN_LNC000150)". The record is from RNAcentral. Lineage: Eukaryota; Viridiplantae; Streptophyta; Magnoliopsida; Vitales; Vitaceae.
AGUUAUGUUCUACUGCAAAGAUUAAUUAUCAGAUGAAGAUGGUAUAUAAGAAGCUUAGCUUCCUUAAUUAGAACAUUCAUGAAACGAAAUACUCCUUCCCAGAGACAAGGGUGAAGAUAAAUUUUAUGUUUUCUUUCUCAGUUAUCAAAUUAGGUGCAACUCCAGAGAAUUUAUAUAUAUUUAGAGAUCAAACAUGUUUGAAAGCAGAAGAAACCCUAAUUUAAGAACAGUACCUUUCAGUAAUGGUAUAGGAUCUGCUACCGCCAUAUGAACUGGAAUCUGUUGAUACUGAAUUGCACAGUAGUAUUUUCAAAAGAAAAAAAAAAACAUUUACUCAAAUAUUUCCACAAAAUUCACCUCCUGAACAUGUACUAAAGGACAAUAUUUAUUUAUUGAACAUACAUAUAGAAAUCCAGAUCUAUACCUUUUAAUGGUUUCAGACACUUGCACUAGCACAGUGUCACAACAAACAACCAAGAAAAGCCAUAUGGUGUUCGAUAUUUAUUCAACAGGAGGAUUCAACAGUCAUAGAACUCUAUGGAAACACAAACCCACCAGUCCACAUACCGUAGUAUAAUCACGCCAUCUUCGGCGACAGCCUAAACCAAAGCCCAAAUAGUAUGAACCAUGAGCUCCGAUAAUUUAAGAUGCAAAAACAAAGAAACCCACACAGAUAAAAGCUGGAAAAGACAUGUAGAUUUGCUAAAUCUAGCAAAUAAUCGGACCAAGAUGCUUCAAUUCCCCGAGAGAAGAUGAGAGAGUGAUGCGGAAUAGAAAAGCAGCCUUUCACUUCACCCAUAAUAGAAUAAUAUUAAUGGGAAUGAAAGGUAGGGUUUCUUCCUCUUCAGUGAGCCCAUCUUCUCUUUCUCCUCCUCUUUGUGGUGCUGGGAAGUAUGGUGAGGUGGUUGGUGGUGUGGAGAUGAUGAAAGUGAGGGAUUAAUAAUGAGGGGAAGAGGGGAGAGAACAUGAUGAUUGCUGCAGUGUGUUUUGCGUUGAAUGGAGGGAUAUAAAUCCAAAGCAUAGCGUGCUUCCUCUGAGGGGUUUGUUGGGUUCUUAUUCACAUGGAGAGAUAAUCAUACCAUGAAACCCCAUGACACCAUCCUUUUUCUGGUUCCUACCCCAAAAGAAACUCUUCAUUAUAUCCCCUACUUAUAAAGACACCCUCUACUUGACCUUUUGUGUGUGUGUGUCAAUAUGUCUCAUUAAAAAAAAAAAAAAAACCCAAAAUUUUCCUUUAUUUUGAAUCACAGGUCUAAAAUAUUUUUAACUCAUUUUUCCUUGUGCAUAUGACUGACUCACUGACUGAAGUCUGAAUAUAUAUGGAUACUGUUGAAGGUCGUUACUGCUGUAAACACUGUUGAUAUCAAUGAAAAGCACGAUCCGGAGUUGGGAGUCCUGUGGACCCGUGAGAGACUGUAGUCUGUAUGAGUAUAAGACAGAGGAAUCGGAUUCUUUAGGAGAAUAAGCAAAACGGGAACUGCCAUUAAGCUGCGCCAUAAACAAUCAAUUUUGAGGGUAUGUUUAGAUGAGAAAGCUUCCCCAUUUUUCACAACAUGUUCGUUUCAGAAUAAUAUGCGACUGGAAAAGGAACCAUCCUCAGACCUUCUCUUCUGCCUGUGCAUAUAACGCCAAGGGAUCCUAUUUUUCAUUUUCACCCCGUGUCUUUUCAGUUUUCACACUCCGUGGACCCAAUAAGCUUAGGGAGUUUUCCAUUAAAUAUUGAUGAUUAUGGAGAUGAUGAUAACGAAGAUUAUGGCACUGGGAAUGGUGACAGAGUCAAUGAUGAUCAUGUGGAUUACAGCAAUGAUGACUUCUCAAAUUCAUCCUCAAAACUCCAGCUAAUAAAUGGGGUCGCAGCUAGGGAUUGUUUGGGAAACAAGUGAGAUGCCUAUUUUUUAAGCUAUAUAUUUGAUUAAAAGGGUGAAAUAAUAACCUUUCACCUAUUUUAGUUAAAAAAAAUUGAUCAAGUUUUAACCAAAAAAGAAAAAAUACUCUUCAUUUUUCAUCUAAAAAAACAUUUUUUAAAGUGGGUUUUAAUUCAUUAAAUAUGAAAAAAGAAACCCUAAAUUUUUUAAAUAAUUUGAAAUACAUUUAUUUUUUAGUGAAUCAUUUAAUUAUUUCCCAAAAUACUCAUUUGAAUUAUCAUGUCAUUAAUAUCAAUUAAUAAUUAGACUUUUCCACGUAAAUAUUUCCCUUCCUUUUAGAUAUUUAUUCACCCCGUAAUUUUUUUUUUCUUCUCUCCAUCAACAAACAUUCCAUAGGAAAAAUGAGAUAGGACAUUGCUUUAAUGAAAUUAUUUUUAAAGAGACCUUGGAAAAAACCAUAUACCUUAUUUCCUACAAAACUCAAACUCAUCCACAGUCCAUUAGGGUUUUAUUACUUUUAAUGUUCACGCUUUUCAAACUUCCUCAUUUUUACUAUGGGGUGUUUGUUUAUGGAGAAAAAAAAAUCUUAAAUUUUCUAAUGAGAUGUUCGUUCUAAAUGGAAAAAAAAUCCCAAAUAAUAAUAAUAAUAAAUAUCUAAAAUAAAAGAAAAUAUCUACUAGAGAGUUUAGUUGUCAAAUGAUGUUAAUGACAUAACAAGUUAAAUGGGCAUUUUAAUAAAUAAUUGGAUGACUCAUUAAAAAAUGUAUGUAUUUUAAAUAGAUAAAGAUAAUAUUGAUUUAAAAUAUUUGAGGUUUUUUUUCUAUAUAUUUUCAUAUUAGUGAAUCAAAACCUACUAUUUAAAAAAAAAAAAAAAAUCUUACAUAAAAAUAAUGUAAAUAUAUAAAUACGCUUAUGUAAAAAAUAAAUUAAUUUUUAAGUUCAAACGUAAGAGAAGUUAUUUUUACAAAUUUAAGGGUCUAUUUAGUUAUGUUUUUUUAAAUUUGUUUUUUAACAUUGGUUUUUAUUCUUUAAUAAAAAUAGUUUUUAAAAACAAAUUUUAAGAAAUAUAACCAAAUGGACCCAUGUUUCCUUCUAUUUUUAAAAAUAAAUGAAAACAAUUUUUUCUUAUUUUUUAAAAAUUAUUCUUUAUUUCACUUUAUUUUUAAAAAUUAUUUCUACAAAACAACGAUAAAACAGUAUUAAAAAUUUGUAAAAAUAGUUUUUUAUUUUUAAAAGUAAAAAACCAUUUUAAAAUCAUACAACCAAUUAGAGUCUUUGACUAUUCCUCCUAAUAAAAAGAAUUGAAGAUUGAUCUCAAAAGAAACAUAAAGACCGAGAAUAUUUUGAAUAAAUGUUUUUGAGUUUUUGAAAAUAAUUUUUUAAACUUAUUUUUUGAAAACAAUUAAGAACCAAACGAAUUUUCAAAGGUAGCCAUAAAUUUUGAAAAUUUACUUUUACAACUAAUAUACCAAAACAAUCAUUGUGUUUAAUUUUCAUUUUUCAAAAUGAAAAAUUCUUAAUAAUAACAAUAAUAAUUUUUUAUUAUUAUUAUUUUGACUGUGGGUAAAACUCUUUCAUACCGAUACUACGCAUAUUUGAAAAAGCACUGACUUCUAUUAAAAUCUGGGAUCACUUAAAAAACAAUGAUAGUGUGUCGGCUCCAUCUAGCUAGUACGUAUUCAAAUCAUGAUGAUAAUAGGUGCACCGUAGCAAAUUUUGGCAUAAAGUAAAAAUGGUUUUUCUAGUAAACUGAAGUUGCUUCGAAGUAAAGGUCGUGAGAAUUGGUGCAUCAGGAAAGCACUUUUUCAUAUGCUCCAUGAUUAAAAUUCACAACCAGCUCUCUCAGAGGAGAUUAAAGGGCAGGGAAAAGAAAUUAAAGUCACCCCUUCAAUCCUCUCUUAGUGACUUUAGGUUUGACCCUAGUAAAGUUUCCACUUCCAAUGGAUCACUUUUCUACUUUUCUUUCUUUCUAAUCAACUUCUCUUUUAGGAUUCAGGCUGGUCUAGAGGCCAAUUACAACACACAUCCGCAUAAUCUCAAUGUCUCGGAGGAGUGCUUCUGUCUUUUCAUUGACAAAUUAAACAGUGCCAUGGAUCUCUGGCUUUAAAUAAGAACAAAAACAAAUAGCAAUCUUCUUUACAGUUAGUGGAGACAGUGCCCCAUGGCGCCUUUUGGUAAUGCCCACCAAAAAGGUGGAGGGCAAGGAAAGCUGAUGGGGAAGUCGAGUGUGUGUGGAUAUUGGGUGAAUAUUCAGACUAUGUCUUGUGGGGCAAAAUACCCAUUCUUACGCUCGUCUCACGUGAGGCUGUCCUCCCAACUUACUUCCUCAUUUCGGAUAAUUUUUAAUAUUAUUUUUAAAGGCAUCAAAGUGAUUCAAUUUUUUAUUCAACCAUGAAGAAAAAAAUACAGAGCCGUAAGAAAAUAUUGCACUAAUUUUCAUAUUAUUUGAACUUGGGGUUAGUCCACAUGAUAUGAACUUAAAAGUCAAAGGAUAACUUUUAACAUAGGACUUUUACAAAAAUGUAUUGAUAUUUGACACACAUUAAAAUGAUUUAAGUUUUAGUAAGAGAAGAACGUGAUUUGAAAUUUUUGCGGGUGGCCCGACACGUGGUAAAACCCAUAUGAAGAGCGUGUCUAGCGUGACGCAUGAGAAGCAAUUUCCUCUAAAUUGCACAAAUCAUAUUUAUAUUUUAAAUUGAGUGUCGAAAUACAACUUUGAACAUUUGAAUGAUUUGGAUUCAAAAGUCAGUCGUCCAGAUGAUAGACUUUUAGAAUUCAUCAAAGUAUUUAUAUAAAAGGCAUAUAUAAAACAUAUAUUUUAGUGAAUUUAAUGGAUAGGAAAUUCUUCAUCACUAAAAAAUGUUUAUUUUUUAAAAUUUUACAAUAUUAGAAAUGGUAAUAUAAUUUUCAUUUUAAAAAAAAACCUGUAACAAGAGCUUAUGAAAGGAUCUUAGAAAGGUUGUACUCAUUUUUUUUAACUUAAUGUCUAUUGUGUAGUGUUCUACCUUUGCAUGAAAAGUGAGUAAUAAAAAUUCAUAUAUGGAAGGCUUACACAACAAUGCUAUUCAAAUUUUUUUUUGAGGGCAUAGACUUGAUAAACAAGCAAAAUUUGAAGCGAUUGGUGGGUUACCUAGGUACCUCUAUGGCCUUGAAUCAUACAAUAUUAAGUGGAGCGUGGAGUUGUUGUAAAAUAAUAUUAAAGUCUAAUAUUAAGGCAGAGAUGUGCUUGUUGAGCCUAAGAAAAUGGAUAACAAUACUCGAAGAGUGAGUGGUGAAGAGUUAUAUAUGAAAGGUUUGUACAAUAACAUUAUCAAAGUUUUUUUUCAAAAAUAAAGGUCUAAUAAAGAAAUAAAAUUGGGUAUCAAUAAUAUCGAGUGAAGAGUGGGAUUGUGAUAGAAUGUAAGGGGGAUGGAUUGUAAUGUCCCACGCCACCCCGAAAGUAAAUGGUGAAGAAUCAUAUAUAGAGGACUUAUAUAACAAUAUUAUUAAAACUUUUUCUUUAAAGGUAAAGGUCUAAUAAAGAAGCAUAAUCGAAACCCAAAUCUAAUAAUAUUGGGUGGAGAGUGGAUUGUUUUUUUUUUUUUUUUUUUUUUUUUUUCUAUUUAUUGCUUAUUUUUAACUUUUUUUUAUUAAAUAAUAAAUAAAAUAAUAAUAAUAAAAAACAUGAUAUUUAAUACUAUUCAAAUGUUAGGUUGCCUUUCUUUGAUUUAAAAUCAAUAAUCAUUCUCCACCAUGAACUUUGGUAAACCUCCAUAAGUGACAAACAAAUAAUCAUUAAAAAUAUGAAACUGAGAAUUCAUCACCCAUAGGAUUCUUUUCUCACGCAAGCAAUAUUAUGGUGGAGUGAUUAAUAAUAAACACUAGCUUUUAAAUAGUAUACAAAGCACAAUAAUUAACGUAUUUUUUAAUAACAAAUAAAGUAAUUCAAUUUUCAUGUGGAGACAAAUACAUAGCCAUAAUCCGAAUAAGCAUAUUUUCUAGUAAUAAUGGGCUUUUUAUUUAAUGCAUGUUUUUAGGAUUUAGUAUCCAACUAAACCUUAACCUCUCAUCUAAUUUUGACAUUGUAAUGAUUAUAGUUACGUAUUUUGGUAUAAGAUUAAGUCACAAUCUUAGGUACAUGGCAUGGAUUGUAUAUCUUUUGCCUGCCCAAAAAUGAUGCACCAUGUUGCCCAUGGAGGAAUCGUAUACGACUAAAUUUUUCUGCCUUUCUUUCAGACUCGAAAUUUAAAUAAAUUUUAUGGCAAAAUCAGCCAAAACUGAUGGUGCAGACCUCAAAAAUAGUCACUCUCAGUAGACUUUUUCUAAACUAGGCCAAACAUUUCUAAAAACGUACCUACUAAUUUAGAAUUGGGCCCAUCUAACAACCUAGACAGAAAUUUAUGGUCCGCAACAUUAAUCUUGUCAAAUCACCGUUUGGUUGACUGCCGACCUUUUUACCUUCCUCAAAAAUUUUUAUCCCGAGUUCCAGGAAAUGUUAUUAACAUAUAUGGCCCCCAAAAGCGGAAGCUUCUAAGUAAGCCUCCACAAGGUAAUGCCAAAAUCAAGGCUUUUUGUUGUAGGGGAUAACAUAGAUUUAAAGCUAUAUUACUUUUUGAUAAAUGUAACUUAUGUAUUAAAAAAUGUGCCCUCUUGUUUUUUUAUGCCACAUCAAAAUCCACAGGCCUCAUCUUUUGCAAAACCGGAAGCUUCCCGAGGAUGCCUCCUCCGCUAGGUAUGUCAAAUCGAGGUUCAUUUCGAAGGGGAUGGGAUAAAUUAAAAUUUUAAUUUAACUUUUCUAAAUUCUUGCAUGAAUGUUGGAUAUUUACGAAAAAAAAAAAUGUGCAGUGUAGAAUUUUUAUGCCAAAUCAGAUCUCUGGUCCCCCUUGUUUUAAAAAAUGGAAGCUUCCAAGGAAGCCUCCCCAAGGUCAUGCCAAAUCCAUACAGGUUGUACAAGAUGGAAUAGUGUAGAUGGAUGUUACAUGGGUACAAAUAUGUAUAUCUACUGUAUUGUUUUUUAUGCCACGUCAAAUCAAUGGGACUCACUUGUGCAAAAGGUGGAAGCUUCAAGGAAGCCUCUACAAGGUUAUGACAUUCAAGAUUUCGGGCCUAAGCUUAUCAAGGAAGCCUCGAGGAGUCUUCCUCCGACAUGAUCGAGGAAGAAGAAGGGUGACCCAAUAACCAAGGAAGUAGAGAAAGUCUCCGUGCUGAGGUUUCCACAAGUCACCUAAAAGACCCUCAAGGACUAAAAUUAACGAAGAAGGAAAUUUGGCAGCUGAUCCACAACUUAAAGCAUAGUGUCAGAUAAGCCAAUUAAUAUAGACCAAUUUGAUCCGACCCGGCCAAACUCAUCUUCCUGUCUACGCUUGGUCAUGCCCAGCCAGACCCGCUUGCGUGAAUGUGCAGGUCGAGUCUGCUUCUUUGCAUUGGGCCAAUUGGUGGUGCGAGCAUAGGCUUAGGGGUGCUGCUGAUACACACAAAUUUCUCUUUAAAGAGAAAUUAUAUAUGAUUAGGUUAAAUUUUUAUUGAUUUAAAAAUCACGAGUAUUCUCUAUUUUGUCUUCUAAUUUUUUAUUUUUUAUUUACUAAUUAAGGGUUUGAAAAAACUUGAUGCCGAAUAACUUGAACUUAAUUUGGAUAUUAAUUUAAUUUAAUUUUGAGUCUUGACUUGAUUAAGGUCUUAUCUUGUGUUGAGUCUUGGCGUAAUUUAGACCUCAACAUAAUAUCCUUAGCAUGACUUGAAUCUUAACUUGAAUUGAGUUUUGGUGUAACUUGAGUUUUGACUUGGCUUGGAUUUGACUUCAUUUGAACAAUGUCAAUUAAAAGUUUGAGCAACUUGAUCUCAAAUCAAAGAGAUCUAUAUAGAUUAUUCGAAGAUACUUCAAAGAAAUUGAAGAUUCUUUCAACAAUAGUUAAAAGUGCCUUCUAAAGGUUUAAAGAAGUCUUAAAUCUCCCUUAAAGAGCAUUACUACAACUUUUAUCUUUUAAAUUACUUUAAAAGCUUUGAAAUUAAUUCUAUUUUUAAGAAUUUGAAACACAAUAUUUGAAUAGUUUUCUAACUAUUUAAAACCAUUAUUAAAAUAACUAUUUUGAGAAAUUUGAAGACCAUAUUUGAUCGUCAUAACCCUUUGAAACAUACCCGUAGGCUUCAUAUUAUCAAUUGGUUAAAGCAUAGUGGAGUGUAGAGGUUUCAAAUUAAUCAUAAUUAAGUAUGAAGUUGCAAUCCCUUUGUCCACAUCAGUGAUACUUUUGCCACUAGUGUCAUCCUCAAAUUCUUUAACAAACGUGUUCAUUUGUAUUUGUUUUUAUGAUAAGCACUAUAUUAUGUACUUGUGUAGCUAAUUCCUUAAAAGUUUUUAGUUUGAUACAUGUAAUAUAGUUCCUUGGUUAUAAAUUUCAUUAGAAAAACUUUCAUACAAUUUACAUUCAAGAUUUAAAUUUCUUUACUUUAUAUAAUCAAUCACUAGUUCAUAUUUUUAUUGUUUAAUAUUGGUAUUUCAAACAUGCUGAUGCAAUGUCAACUAACCUAAAAACUAUUAAGGAACUUUCCAUUUAUUCCAAAUUAUCGAUAAUAUUGAUUUCAAGAUUUGUAUACCAAUCAAAUUUAUAUUCUUUUAAAUGAGCAAAUAAAUUACUUGACUAAAAGGCUCAGUUCAUUUGUGAGGAAAAACUCAUUUGAAAAAGCUUGAAUGUUUUUUGUGGCAUGUUUUCUUCUGAAACAUAUUUUAAGCUUAUCUUAAGAUGCAUCUUAACGUGGAUAUGUGAUUUCAUUUGUUGAUCCUAUUACAAUUCCAAAUUUGUGAAAAAAUGUAUCGAUCUUAAAAUCUUGCUCUUGAUUGUGUUAUAUAAGUUCUUUUAUAGUUCUUUAUUUGUUUGAAGAAUGGUGUGCGUACAAUCAUAGUUUGAAAAGGUGCAGAAGCCUUCUAAAGUUUAAGUGCAAGAUGCAACACAAAGUAUGCAUUUGAGUGAAGUAAAAUGCAACCUAGGAUGCAUAUCGAGUUUAUAAAGUAUGAUUCGAAAUCUAAUCCAAUUAAUAAAAUUUAAGAUUCCACACAUUUAAAAGAAAAAUUCAAUAAAAAAUAAUGAAAUUAUAUACAUUUCAAUGUAAUAUUAAAAAAUUUAAGAAUUAAAUGGUUUAAAAAGAAAGAGUAACACCGACAAGAUAUGAUUCUUCAAUAAGACAUAUGUCUUGACAAGCAAAGUGUUACGAUUAGAAAGUAAUUGCUCUUUAAGUCUAUACGUGUUUAAAACAUCCCUUUUAAAAUUAUGGGUAAAAUAUCUACUUUUUCCUCUAAUUCUUUCGACUUUCGGUAAUAAUUUUUUUUACACCUUCUAGGCUAUGACCAAAAGAAAUGACAUUAGUAGACUCGAGAAAAUUUUAAGGUACUGAAGCAAUAUGGUACCAAAUUCAAAAUCUAAGACUGUUGAAGUAUAUGAUUAAAUAUAGAGCACUAUAUUCAUCAUUUGCAUAUGGUUAAAUAUAAAGUAAUGGGCAUUUACUAUGUGGCAUUUUUUAAUAGGAUGAGACUUUUCCAUAGCCAAAAAUAUCUUUUUGGUAGCAUAGUGGCAACAAUGAUGUAACACAAAGCAGAGAGAUACAACCAUUCGCUACUUUCUCUCACUUUCUAAUCGAAAAAGUCCCACUAAGGCCUAGGGGUAAGAAUGAGGUCAAGUAGUCUGGUUUUUUGGUCUCCAUUUGACUUCCACAACAAUUAUUUGCCAAUUUCGAUAUUUUGAUUCGUUCCGUCGAAGGCAUUUUGAUGAUAAUUGAUUGUUUGGUGGCGUGUUCUGUAGGGAUCAGAGCUUCAUCUCAAGCCUGCAAAUAUUCCCUCCAACACUACUUGCAGCAGCAACUUUAGGCACAAAAUCACAAUGAGAGAUGAUUUCGCUUUCGCUCUUACAGGGAGCGGUGGACAGAUUUAACAUAGCCUACAAUGGCCUGAAAGGGUCGGUUGGGUGAGGCCUCUGUGCUAGCCAUUCUUCGACCCAACUUACUUAGGGCCUGGCCCAGCCUUUGAUCUUCCAAUAUUUGAGAAGGUGCUUAAGGUAUUUGCAGUUUUAAAAAAUAUUUUCUGCAUUUGUAUUUUAAUACCAAAAUUUAGGAUAGCAAUCAUGCCACGUUGAAAUGUCAUGUAGGAAGAAUAUUGUGUGACUGACGUCCUCGAUUUAUGAGUGAUUUUUUUUUCCACGAUUUUUGGAUUUUUAAUUUUUAAUUUUUAAUUUAUAUCAUUAUUUUAUUUUUAUUUUUUCAUAUUUAUCACGUUAAUUUUUAUUUUUAAAUAAAUUACAAUUUUUUGUGUGUACAUUUACGUUUUAUUUUUUAUUUUAAUUUUAAAAUAUUAAAAAGUAAAUAAAACUAUUGACAAAUAACUAAAAUGCAAAAACAGUUAAUAAAAAAAGUAAGUUUUUAAAUAUUUUAUAAAAUAUAAGGUGGUGUUUGUUUUUUUACUUAAUUCUAAAUAGAACCUUAAUACUUAAUAGUAUUAAAUAUUAGGUUGUUUGUUUUUGUAGUAUUUUAUUUCUAUUAAGUAUUAAAAAGUAAAAAAAACCAUUGCGUUAUUUUUUCUAUUUAGAAAAAGCCACAUAUUUUGGCUUUUUCUAUUUAGUAAAAAAUUUAUAAUAAGUCAUGAAAAAGUAAAAAAACAAACAACCUAAAUUCUAAAACUAAAUGGUUUUCAGUAAAAAGCCAAAAAAACAAACACCACCAAGUCUUAUAUAAAAAUUAAGUUUAUAAGAUAAAUCAUAAAUGCAACUUUCGAUAAUUCUAAUAAAAUAUACUAAUGUCAGGCAGAUUUUUUAACCAGACUUUUUAUUUGAACUUUGAAAUAAAAUAUUUUAUUUAAAAGUUUUGAAUGAUUUAAUUUUGCCUUUCAUAUAUAAAAUGUUUUAUUUUUUUUAAAUAAAUGAACAUGUGGUAAACAAUUUUAAGAUCGUUUUAGAAAAAAAAUUAGGUAAUUUUAAAUUGAUUAAAAAAUUCAAUAAUUUUAAAUAGUUUAAAAUUAUUUAUUUUCAAGAUAUAUAUUUUAACUAGUUUAAAAUUAAUUUAUUUUCCUAUUUAUGCUUAAUUAAUGUAACUAAUUUUAUCAUUUUAUACAAUUCACAUUUCUUAUGUACAUAUAUUAUAUUAUUAACUUUAUAAUUUUGCCAUAAUAAUUGCCAUUCAAUCAUUUUUUUUUUUACUAUGUUUCCUAAAAUUUCUAUAAAAUAAUCCAAUAACAAAUGUUCCAUCCGAUGCUUUCAUCUUUUAUCAUUAGAUGACAAAGCAUAAGGUUUUUUAAGCUACACCGCUAGACGUGGCAAAGGAUAGUAAUAGAUAAGUCUUUUGAUUAUUUGAUGAUAACGAAACGAGUUUGAAAUUUAAAUGAUAAUAAUAAUAAUUUUUAAUAAAAUAAUUUAUAAAAAAUUAUAAUAUUUUAAGUAUUUAUAAAAUAUAUUUAUUUUAUAAAAGUAAAUUAUAAAAAUGUGUUUACUUAUAAAUUAUAUUUCUUUGAUAUAAUUAAAAAUUUUAAAUAAAAUCAUAAUCCACUUUUUCUUUCCCAUCCUGCCCCUGCUUUAGGUUUAGGAUAGGGUGAAAAUAUAUUUAAGUUAAUUGGAGUAUGGUCAUGAUUAGUCAUGAUUACAUCCAUAAUUACCACUAAACAAAGAUUAGUUGUUAAUAAUGUGACAGCUAUAGUUAGUUGUUUUACAACUCAAACCAUUUUAGAUCUUAUGAAAAUCUUAAAAAAAAAUUAAGCUAAUUCAACAUGAGGUAAUCAUCCUAUACGAUAUGUGAAUAGGGUGAUGGUUUUUUUUUAUAAAUUUAAACUAUGUGAAUGCAAAAAACAAUUAUAAACAAAUAUAUAAUAAAACAAUAUAAAGACAAUUGCAUGUAAAAGAGUAAGGAAGAGAGAAUACAAAUAUAAGAUUUUUAUAGUGGUUCGAUACAACUUGACUUACGUCCACUUUCCUCUAACUUCAAUCACAAGUUUGAGGUUCUACUAAUUUAAGGUUUCCAACACAAGCCUUCAAUUAAGUAAUACAAUUGAAUUAUAGUUCCAAUAAACCAUUUUGGACUUUUGGCUCCAAAUACCCUUUAUAAUCCUUAAGAGAUAUAUCACUUUUGAACAACCCCUUAAAUGAUAUCCCACACUUAAAAAUCCCAAAACGAUACCCCAUGCUUAGAUUUUUCUUCUCAAAGAUUUACAAAUGAGGAUAAAAAAUAUUCUUACAAAAUUUUAGUACAAAACUUUAAGUUCAAAUGAUAUAAGAAAAUUAUGAUUGAAUGGUGUACUAAAAAUAUGCAAGUUUUUGAACAAGGUGAACUAAAAAAACACUCUUCUAAGGCUCAAAUAUAUUCAAGAAAGGUUUAAGAAGGUUAAACUAUUGAAACAAUGAAGAUUUAAGCUUUUUUAUAGAGGAAAAAUGUCAAACUAGCCAUUGGAGGUUCGUCUCAUGGAGCUCAAACUUGAUUGGUUUGCUAGCCGUUCGAAUUUAAUGCAUGACAAGUGACCAUUGGACUUCGACUAUCCCUUGACCAUCACUCAAUCGGUCCUCGACUUGUUGAACAAGCGGUUUAGAAGAGAGAUAAUGUUUUUACACCUUUUGACUGGUUAAACUAAAUAGGUUGAUUGGUUUCUCAUCUGAUUUAACUAGUUGAGUUGUUUGUGGUUCAAUAACCAUUUUUUUCAACUUUAAACAUUUUAAACAAGUUUGGAAAGCAUUUGACACAAAGUUUUAAUUAAAAACAUGAAAUCAUCCAAUUUUAAAAGAUUUAAAACAAAAUAACCAUUGGAUGAUUUUGGUGCAUAAAUAAGAAUGUAAUGUAUGAAAAACAUAGUGUACUAACAACCUUACAAAAAAAUUCUAUAAAGCUUAGGUCUUGAAAAACACUUUUCUUUGAGGUAUUUUCUUCUUAUUGAUUUUCCUUUGUCUUGAUUUUGUAUUUAUGAUUGUCACUUUGAAAAUCUUCUUACCUAAUCACAUUUCAAAUAUAAUUGUUAGUUCCAAAUCUUGUUUUAUUAUUAUCAAAAUCGAGAUUAACCAAAUUUUGGUUUCACAAAAACUAAUAUCCAAAAAGAAAAAAAAAGUUUUAAUGUCAAAAUUUUAAAAUUAGAACUCAUUAAUAAAAUGUGCUUUUCCUAAGGGUCUUCUUUGUAAAAGAAAAAUAAAAUAAAAUAUAAAUGUCAUAAAAUUUGAUUUUAUUUUUAUUUUUAUUUUUUUUAAAAAUAAAAAAAUAAUAUAUAUAUAUAUAUAUAUAUAUAUAUAUAUUUUAAAUAUAAGCAAAAAUAUUUAAAUUUAUUUCUAUCUUGGAUCUUGGACCUAUAACUAAAUGUGAAAGUUUACAUAAAUUCCGAUCAUAUGCAUUGUACAUAUCUAAAAAUUUUACAAACUUUUUUUAAAAUUGGCCGCUUAUUAUUUUGAAAGUAAGAUAAGGGGAUAAAAAUUAAUUAAUAUAUUUUAUCUAACACUUAUCAAAUUUUAAUAUAUUUUAUAUUAUUUAUUUUAUGCUAAGAUAAAUACAUGAAUAAAAAUAUAUGCAUGAUAUUGUGUUAUUUUUAUUUAUUUUUUAUUUCAUAUAUAUUACUUGUAAAAUUUAAUAUUUUGGUCACAAUUUAUUUUACUAUAGUCUAAUUGAGAUUGUAUGAGAAUUGUUUUAAAAAUUAUUUUUUAUUUUUGAAAAGCUUUUUUUUUUUUUUUUUUAAACUCAAAAACAUGUUUAAUAGUUUUUUUUAAUAAAAAAAGUUCUUGGAGAAUUAGUCUUGUAAAUGGAGUGUUUUUUAAGAAAAUAUUUAAUUAUUUUCACUUGUUUUUAAAAGUUAUUUAAAAAAAUAAUUAUACAAGAUUAAAAAUAUAAUACUAUAAAUAGAUAUUAAUUUAAAGGAAUAUUUAAAAACACAAAAAAAUAGGUUGAGAACGUUUUCAAUUCUCGAAAAGACUUUUGUUCUAAAAACACUAAAGAAUUGUUUUUGAAAGUUAUUUAAAAAACUUAUUGUUAAUAACUUUAAUUAUUCUCACAAAUUUUAUAAACUCUAUUCAUUUCUAACUUCAAUUUUAUUUUAUGUUUUUCUAAGUAGUUUUAUUCAAUUAGUACUUUUAAAUUUAUUCUUUUUGUUUAGAUUUUUUAUUUUUAUGAAGAAUAUACAUUUUAGAAAAAAAAUAAAUUUUAAUUUAGAUUAGAAUAAGGAAAAGUAAUAAGAUAAUGAGAAAUAUUUUUGGAUUCUUUUUAAGAUAAAAAGUAGAGUAAUAAGGGGAGAGAAUGAAGAAAUUUGGCGAAGGGGACUAAGGGUUUAUUUGGUUGGUGUUUUUGAAAAUUGUUUUAAAAGAUGGUUUUUAAAAAUUGUUUUUAGUAUUUUAAGAAACGAAAUUAAUUUUGGGACUGAAAAACAGUUUAUGUUCCAAAAAAAAAAAAAGAAGAAAAAAACACGUUUAAUUGAGUUAAUAAAAAAAACUUUUUAGAACAAAUAAAAUAAAAAACAUAUUUGAAAGUUUUUAUUUUAUUUUAUUUUUAGUUGAGUGUUUUUUUUCAAUUAACUUGAUAUUAUAAAUCUCCUUUCAUGUCUUUUCCUAUGAUUACAAAGGUUCAAAAAUGUUUUUUUAUCCAUUAGAAAUAGUUGACAGCAUGUUUAAGGUGAUCAUCUAUCAUAUCUUUUAGGAAUUAUGUGCCACUUUAAUAUUUACGUCAUUUGAGCUGUAUAUUUCCAUGAUAUAUUUCAACAAACUUAUAGAAUAUGGUUAAGAACAUGCACUGGUGGAGGAGGUCAAAUGCCAAGGGCACCAAACCUAGCCCUGAGUUUUCCAAGAAAACUCAUCAAGUCAAAGAAGGGCCAGUUGAUUGGCUUAGAGGGAACUAACCUCAAUUUACCACUCCAUAAUACAAAUCUAGGUAAAUUAGGAUCCCUAAAACAAGAUCAUCCUUCAAACCACUACCCACCUGCAACAAAACAAGAAUGCAACAUUUACCUACAAUAUAGAACAAUGUUUCAGGGAAAUAAAUUAUCAAUAACACUAGCUCAAAAAUUGAGAAAAAAUAGAAAAGGACAAAAUAUUUAAGCCAUACAACAAUAGCAACCCCAAAUUGAAAAACGUCAUGGUGAUGCUAGAGAAUGUAUUUAGCAUCAAUUUUGACAAAUUUGCAUAUAAUAAACAAAAGAAAAGUAGUUUUGCGCUCAUGUUAUUGUAGAUUUUGGUGGGCAUUGCAGGUAGAAAUGGUGUUUAUAAGAAGUAAUAUGAUCCUUUCAAUAGAGAUAAUAAUUGGGUUAAUACAGCCUAGGUCAUGCUCAAACCUUAAUUAGGACCAUGGUGAGAAUAGAAUCGGAGGGAUGGAAGCUAUUAGGGCCUUCUUUCUAGAGAUAGUCGUCCCCCUCCAUGGUGGUUACCCUUGACGCUAUCUCUCACAUUUGUCACAAUCACAUUGCUGCCUACAUCACCAUGCUUGGUGGCAAGAGCUCGAGUGAUAUAGAGGCUAUUGAUUCCUCUCCCGACGAUGACACAGUCCACUGGCAAGUAAUUAUUUUCAUUGCCAACCUUGGAGGAAGAAAUUGUAGACUCCCAGUCCCAGUGAUAGAGCAUCGAAAUUUCCAUGGCCUAGUGCAAUUGUUCUAAGUGUGUCUAGAGAAAAAUGGAAAAUUGCAGUGGAGAUUUACAGGAGAAAAAAGGUGAAGAGUGGGAGGGUCAAUGAGAAUAAGAGUGGGCAUGGCGAGGAAGAGAGUAAGAGAUGGUUAGAACAAGAAAUGUGAGAAUAGGAGAAGAAAGGAUUGAAAACACGAAGAGCAGAGAUGUUUUUAUUUAUUUUCUAAACAAUAAAAAAACAAGAAAAAGAAUUUUUUAUUGUUAUUUGAAAAUAGACAUUUAGAAAACAUGAAGAAUAGUGAAAACAAUGGGGCUACUUCCCAAAUGUGUGUGUGUGUUUUUUAUUCUUAAGAAAAAAAAAAUUCAAAAAACACCAACCAAAUAAGCCCUAACUCUUCCUUUUACUUGAUCUCCUCAUUUUUUAUUAAUCAAGGGAAAAUAUUAAAUAUUAAAAUUCAAUUAGUCACAAUACCUCUUUAGUACUAUUGCAAAAUUUUUCUUAUUUAGUAAAAAUAUAUAUAUUUUUUUGACAUAACUCAGUCCGCUCUUCUUAAAAACUUUAAUUAUUCACGUAAUCAUAUGUUUCAAAUGUUUCUAAUUGUUCAUAUUUUAAGAUCUACAAUCUGUUAAGACCUUUGUUGCAGAUCCUUUGCUUAAAAAGCUUAUAAAUCUUUAAUUGAAUAUACUAGGGUUUCUCAAACAAAGUGAUACUUCACAUCAAGUUAUUAAAUCCUUAACCAAGUGUUCAUUUAUGAAUGCUUAGUAAGGAUCUUGUAAUAGUCAAAUUCUAAUUAACAUGAAAUCCUAUAAACCAGUGUAAUGUACUAAGAAUGAAUAAGAAAACAUCAAAUUUAUAUAUUGGAAUUUUGAAUAAAUCAGAAAGACCAAGAACUUUUUCUAUCUUUUAGAUUGGUGGAUUCAAUUUAAUUAAAACAUCAUGACUUAUUGGAUAGUUGGAAUAGGAAUUAUAUUUCUUGAGAAAUCCAUGUGAAAAAUAAGUGUUAUUACAUGUUUAAUGAUUCCCAUGGUAUGGUAGCUCUUGGAAUUAAUUAGGAAAAGAGAUCCAAGAAUCAUUUAGGUUUUGGAAUUAGGAUAAAACAUCCAUGUUUAUUAGGUAUUUGAAUAGCAUAUAAAGCAAAACGAAAUAAACAUUUUAGUUUACAGUUAUGUAUCAUAAGACAUUAUCUCUAAAAUAUAUGAAUAAUUAUUAAAUUAAAAUAAAUUAUUUAGAUAAAUAAUAUUAAUUUGAUUUAUUUAUUUUGAAGAUAUAUUAUCUUUUGAAAAGCUAAACUAAAUAAUAAAAAUUGACAAUUCUAGUGUAGUAGGUGUUGAUAUUUAAAAAAAAAAAAAAACAAAAUAAGUAAUGAUUAAAAAAAAUGUAAAAGAUAAGUAUUGAAGAAAUUAGUUGAAACAAAGGAGAAUUAUGUUUUCAGGUUAAUCGAGUUUGAUAAUUAACCCAACAUCCUUAUAAGUUGCAUAUUUGAUGGAAAUGAUAUGUAAUAUUAAGGGACAAAAAUACCCCUUUCAACCGCCACAUCUCUCACACACACAUAUUGUAAUUGUGUGUAUAUUUGCUCUAUGACUUGGAGGCUUCAACAUAAAUGAGUAAAAAUAAUAUUAAAAAAAGAAGUAUGUUAAUCCUGAUUUCUUUUCACCAACCCAAUUGCUAUUUAUUUCUAGAUUUAUUUUAGGUUGGGUGCAAAUGUGUUUUUCUUUUUUAUUCAUAUUUUCUUCACAACAAAAAAAUAAAAUAAAAUAAAUAUUAGAGAUUGUUUGUUAAGUUGGGUUCCACUAUUCUCUUAAUCAUGCAUUGAAGGACUUUGUAAUAUUAAUGGUCAUUUUAUCCCAACAUUUUUUAGGGAAUUUUGAUAUCACCCAAUGUUUGGGAUUGUUUUUCUCAACCUACCUUGUUAGGUCCUCAUUGAAGCAUACAAGUUUUGCAAAUGCCUCAUUUUAAUCACAAGCCAAUGUAGCAUUCACAAUGCUAUCUAUAAGCAACCAAACAUCUUCCUUGUCUUUCUUUCCUUCAUUGUUUUGCUUACUGAAGAAGCUAGUAAAAUUCUCCUUCAAAUGACGAUAACAAUAUUUAUGAUUUUUCAUCCUAAACAACUCUAAAACACUAUGCAAAAUCUAUUUAAUAUAAUGACAACAUCUUUACCAUUAAGAAUCCUCUUUUAACUUCUCCAAGAACCAAUACCAAUCUUCAUAAUUUUUUGAACUUACAACACUAACUUCUAGAGGAAACAUUCCAUCAUCUACAUCAUAUGCAAUGGUAGACAAAAGAGUUCCCUUAUAUGGGUCGCUAAGGUGGUAAGAAUUAAUGACUAAUAUCGGUUGACAUCCCAUGAUGAAUCCUUGAAUUGAAAACGCAUGGGUAAUAAACAAUUUCAUAAAGUGCCCUUCAUUUGAAGUAUACUUUGCAAGAGUCCUCAGGUUAAUUUUCAUUAGCCUUUGGCACAACCAAGGCAAAAAUAGGUAGGAGUCACGAGGAGCACCAUAAAUGUACUCAUUCACCUUUCCUUUAAAGUGUCAUGUUUGGUUAUAUGUCAAGACUACUCUAUGCUUACGUGCAAAAUCUUUGCAUAUUUGACAAAGAAAAUAAUCUAGAGUUGUUUUAGACACUUCUUCAACAACAAUGACAACCCUCUUUGAAUGAACCUCCACUUAAGAUGAACAAUCAUUUUGAGCGAAGUGAUUAUGAUUAACUUGGCAAGUAUGGACUCCCAAAAUUUCAUUCCCUGCUACAAUGUGAGUUGUUAUCUUCAAGGGCAACCCUCAAUCAAACACUUUACUAACAUAUGUUUUGGUGAAUUCUUCAUGUACUUGUAUUGAAACCUCUUACCUAAUGACAUCAAGUAUAUUGCAUUACGGAACUAUUCUUCAUUUUUAAAUGUAUGACCUAACCCUAGUAAUACAUUACAAUACCAAUUCAAUUCUAAAGACAUGUACUCAGUUUUAGCACAUCGUGAUGUAAAAACUCUUGAUUACAUCAUAACAUCACAUAACGCAUUACGUGAUGCACUUGAGGAAGGAAACAUGGUAGGUGGCGUAGUACACAAAUACAAGAAAUAUAUUUAAUUCAUGUAUAAAUUUGAUGUUUACAAUAUUUUGGUCGAGUAUUCAUGUGAAAGAGCAUUACCCAUAUGCCAACUAUGUUAAUGGAAACUCACUAGCACAAGAACAUUGUUAGUGCUUUACAAUAUGCAACGAAAGAUCUAAUAUAACAUUUAGUGUGAAUAAUGUGAGCUAAUUCAUGCAUAAUCCUCUUGAUACACAUUAGAAAUCUAUUAAUAGAAUCACAUUAUAGGUUGCUCUUGAGGAAAUCUAAAGACCUGAAUUUAAUUGGCUACUCUGAUGUUGAUUAAGUAUCAAAUGUUGAUCACAAAAGGUCAACUAAAGGAUUUUGCAUUUACUUGAAGAAUAAUUUGAACACUUGGCGCUUGAAAAAGCAACGCAUAGUGUCUCGAUCAAGUAGGAAGGUUGAGAAUUGUAGUCUAGUGGUGUUGUAUGAUUUGGCUACAGUCAUUACUCAAGGAACUCACAAUUGAUCUAAGGUUACUACCAUCUUGUGUGACAAUUUGAUCUAGUCUACAAACCCAAUCCUUUACUCUCAGGCAAGGGUUGAACUUAUAUUGCGUUGAGAAAAAGUAAUUCAAAGUCCACUCAUAGUUCAACAUAUCUAGCAAUAGAUCAAGCAGCAGAUAUUUUUAUGAAAACAAUCUAAGCAACUUAUUUUCAAAGGCUGCUUGGCAAAAUGAAUAUUGUCCACUCACCUAUACAGUCAUUUUGUGGGUGGCAUAUUAAGGAAUCUAAUGACUCUGUUAAUGAAAACCUAAUAUAAGAAGCAAUGAUGGAGGCACGUGUCCAUGAUUAACUAUACAUCUUUGUUUUUCUCAAUGAAUAAUAUCAUGUCUGAAAACCAAAUGUUAUAGAACAUUUCCUUUGUUCUUUCCUUUCUUUUCCAGCAAUUUUUAUGGAACAUUUUAUUUUGUUCUUUCCUUUAUUUUCUGGCUGUAGUUACCCUUUUAUAAUUUUGUUGGUUGCUCACCUUUUAUAUGAAGAACUAUUGUAAUCCCUUCAAUGGAGGAAUGAAAAGAAACUUUCCAAAUAAUCCGUUUUCUAAUUUACUGCAUGUGAUUGCAUUCAAAUUUGUAGUGUCUAUUUCUAACUGAAGAAUGGCAAAACCUAAUUCUCCACAGCUGGAUUUGAAUUUGAAUUGUAGUCGUGGGAACUCGAGAAUAUUUCUUGGGAUUGUAGUCCUGGGAUUUUAAAGCCAAAUCCACCGAAAACACAUUGGAAUUAUGGCCGCCUAUGAUCCUAUCCUAAACACCAGGGUCCCAUUCAAUUAUAUGACCUCUAUCAGCUAAUGCUUCUCUAGCCUACUGAUUAGAGGAACCAUAUAAUUUGAUUGUGUUUGAAUAUGAAACCUCACUCAACGUCAUUUAAUUAAUCAAAUCAAUAUAUGAUCAGUCAUUAAUAAACUGUACAGAAUUGUAUUUCCAGUAGUCCUAAGUUUAGAAUGGCAAAGUCAUGUAACUUCAUUCAUGGGCAAAAAAAUUUGAUAAAAGAUUCAGAGUUCAAAGAUUGCCCAGACAUACCUUCGAUCCAGUGUCAUUCAAAGAGCUUUUGGGACACUGAUGAAAAGAUAAAUAGAGGUCCCAACGGUGAAAGAACUUAAGAAUGUAAUUAUCUUUGCCAAGAAAUAUACUAUGAUGGGUCAUGAACCCAUGGAAAAUCUGUGACAUGCAUAUUUGAUCCGUUUACAUUACCAUGGAAGUAUUUAGAAAGAGCUCAACAUGGGUUGCUGAUUUACCAGCCAUUGAUGAACUAACAGCUACGGCCUGAAUUACAUGCGCUAUAAGAAAGAACUUUAAUCAAUAGCUAAUCUAUUAACGUGGUAAAAUUAUUAAUAAUGCGGGCUUGUAUAAUAUGCACACAUAUCGUCACUGAUUGCAGUUUUGCCUCCUAACGUUUUUAUACCUGAAGUAUUGUUUUCCUUUUAUGACUGAAGAUGUACAUGACAUGCACUGGGCUUUCAGGCAUUCAUGCUUUGUUCUUUGAUGAGUAUCAACAAGAUUAUUAAUAGUUCAUAAAAAUUCUCAACAUUAAUUUACCACGAGCAUGUCCUUUUCCCUGAAAAACACACAUGAACACAUGCAGAGGCGAGCUGAAGAAUUCAGAUCUUUUAGUUCAGUUAGGACUUCAACUGAUCCUGAAACUCAUGGGAUACCAUGGAGGGUGUUUUCUAGCUGGGAGUUCCGCCUUUCUCUCUUCUGAUUAGACCAUAUGUAUUCGGAAUAUGGCCAUAAUUCUCACAUGGGCAAGCAUUAUUGGCGGUGGAUCAAUGCCAGCUAUCACAUCUCUAACCUAACUUAUCAUCACAUGACUAAUUAAGUGGUUAUGAAGUGAAUUAGGUUGCUUGCAGGCCAUGUGAUUUUGUCUAAUAUUAGGAAAUUCAUCUGUUAAGGCUAUCCCCACAUUGAUCCACUGGCUGUGACACCCAACAGUGAAGGAAACAUGUGGCCCCUUCAUGGUUAUUGAUUUGUCUGAUCUGUUUUACAUUUUGAUCAUCCAUGUCCCCACUGCUUGACUUGGCUCAGGAUUAAAUCAUAUCUUCCGAGGUGAAAUAGCCUGCCGUACCCAUUUUUUAAAGCGGCAAAUUAGCUAGAUUAGGCAGAAAAAAAAAGGUCUUGCUUGCUAUUAUGAUGUCAUUCUGUUGAAUAUAAUAGCCCAUAUGGUAGAUAGAGAAGAAAAAAAUGUUUAUUAAUUCCUGAUCAAAUUUGUAUUGAUAGCUUACCAAUAAUUGAGUCAUUUUAAAUGUUUUCCCAAAUUGUGCUUACUUCAUGUAUUGAUGAUUUUUGACUUCUCAUGCCCAUACAUUUUACUUUUGUGUAUCGAAUUUGAAAUUAGGCCAAAAUACUGUAACCACUCAAUCAAGGAUGUGGACAAGCUUGUACCAAUACCCACGUAACACUGCUUAAUCCAAUGAUCUGAAAACUUAUUCAUCUCCCCCGCCCUUACCUUGUGGAAAUUUUCUUGUGUUAGGUCUGAGGUGCUUUUCUUAUGCUAUUCUCAUGGAAUAGGAUACUGGGGAUACAAAUUAUUCCAGAUUCAGUAGUUUCGUAGCUCCAUUUCCCUACAUUAAUAUAAACCUGAGGUCAAAAUGGGUGACUCAAGCAUUUUGUCAACAUUACAAAUAGAAAGAGAUUUGGUAAUCUAGAUAGUUAGCAACAAAUUUAUUCUAAUGAGGGCUGUGAGCAAAAUAGAUUAUUUUAUCUCCUUAUUUUAUGCUUCGGAACCUUGCUUUUAUAGGUGGCCAAGAUGUGUAAGGACACGAAGCAUUCAGGUAGGUUUUUCUAGAACGUUAAACAGAUGAGAAUGUUCAAUAUUAUUGUCCUUAAUCACUUUUUAAAAGAAGCAUCAUAAAAGGGUUUUUGACCCUGUCUCCCAAAGCUUCAUCUCCAUGAUCCUUACAAACUAUAGAAAAUAUGGUUGUACAAAUGGGAAAGGAAGUAAAGAUAGGGCUGUGUGACAAAUAGCAGGCUGUGAGACGACUUUUAACCUAAUUCCUACCACACUUGUAAUUAAUUAAAAUGAUCAAAUCUUUAAGUCUCCUAAUCAAUUAUUUGUACCAUAUUGCCACGUGGAUAUAAAGCCAAGCAUUGUCUAAAUCAUUCAAUAAAAUAUGGGUAAUUGUUGUCAAAUUAUAAGUGGGUUGUUAUUUUUCCUUAAAUUUUGUAAGAUAUGAGAAAAGAGAACAUGUGAUACUAUUUUGUAUUUUGUUAUGGGUGCUUACUUAAUACUUUAUAACUUAAAUUGUAUUUAGGUUAUUAACUUAAAAUUUUUUUACGUAAUUCUUACUUUAAGUAUUAAAUUUAUCUGAUAAAAUUAAUUUAAAAUUUAUUCUAAAUCAUCAAAUUGAUAAAUUUACCAUCAUCAAUUAUGACUAGGAUAAAGAAGAUGAGUAAUAAUAGAGGUCAUAAAGUAACAAAAGAGAUUGUGAAAAUAAUUAUGAUAAAUGAGGAUAAAAAAGUAAAAUCUAAAUAUGAACUUAAGAAUAAAUUAAAUUAUUAUGUUGGUAUACCAAAUACCUAUGUAGGUAAACUUCUUUAUCAUAUAUAUAUUUUACUCUUUAAGGGCUAGAAUUAGAUAAGGUGAUGAAUGGACACAAGAUGUAAAUUAAACUGAAUAAUUGUAAUUGAUUUUCAUCUUUUGCCUCAGCAACAUUUGAAGAUGAACAUUAACCUUUUUCUACCACAAACCACUGAGACACUUAUUCAAAUAAGAUCUUUUAUAACUGAACCUGUUAUCAUUUUCUGGUAACAGGUAAGGUUAAUUUUUCUAGUAUUGUUGCCAGGAGAAUGUAGGUAGAAUCUAAAUGAACUGGUAUUAUUUCCUCUGCAAGAACAAAUAAUUUUCCUUCUUUUUGCAUUAAUUUCUCAUUGCAUGCUAAUUUGGAUGCCUCACGGUCAUCAGCACUUCAUUUUUUCUGUAUCAUUUGAAAUUAAAUUCCACCUAUAUAUAAAGUAGGAUCCUCGCCAUAAACAGCAGUAAAAGAUGGGAAGAAAAUCAAUAGGCUUACAUAAAUGUUCUACGUACUGGAAACCUGUAUAUACAAUAUUUAGAUUGAUUUAAUUGUCACUCGACAUGCACAUGUUGGAUUAGUGUCUAGCAACACCUCGGUCCCGCAACUUAAUUUUAUGUAAAGAUGCUGGGUCCUGGUGUGGGUGGUGGUUUGCACAUUUAAAAUUUUCUUUCAAUUGAAAAAACAUUUGGGAAGGUAAAAUUUAAAUGUUGAUCCCACCCGUGGGGCACCCAAAGGCGGCAAUAAUUUUCCCUUUAUCUCCACACCACCGGUUCAGAUUAUUAGAAAAGCCCUUUUGAGGUUGUCAUGUCAUAUUUAAUAAACUAAACAAGGUGGGCUCUUCAACAGCACGAUUUUCAAAUACAAACAUUAAAGAGGAGGUUGAUAGACAGAUUUUUCGUAGUCAUAAUGAAUGGAUUACAGUUGCAUUAGCCUUUUCAAUGGUCAUAGAAGUGAUGCAGUCUGAGUUUCUUUUUCACUUUACUCUUCUUCAAUUCAAUGGCGGAUUUAAACUCUAUCAUCCGUAAUUCACAUAUUACUAAAGGGCUUCUUUUGUAGUUCAAAGAAGGAGUUUGUGCCAGUAUAUGAAUUCAACUUCACACAAAAGAUCAAGGAAAGUUCCCUUCAAAAUCCAGAGUAUAAAAUCAUCACGAUCUUUGGAUUUCCAGACUUUACAGUCAAGAAACCAUUAAAACUAACACAUCUCAAAAUCCUAUAAUAAUUUUCUGAAGCUAUGUACAAAAAGGAAAAUGGCAUAUAUCAAACACACUGAAUCCUUAAUUGCCAGACUUUAAUUUCACAAUCCAAACUACCACUGUAAAUAAGAUAAGCAGCAUCAUCGUCGGAAUUGCUUCUGCCAUUGUAAUUGUCAACGGCAGCAGUCAAACACUUAACUGGGCCUCUGUGUCCUUCAAAGACGGCCAAACAAGAAUAGCUCCUCUGAAGUCCCUUCUUCCAAAUCCUAACUGUCUUAUCGGCCGAUCCACUGAACACCAAAUCCGAGACAAUGGCCAGGCAUAAAAUGGCCUUGGUGUGCCCUCUAAGUGCACCAGCAACCACCAUGUGCCCACCACUGGAACUAGUAUCUUUUUCCCAUACAAUAAUUGAUCGAUCACAUGCACCUGAAUACAACACUGAUCCAUCAGGGCUAAGAGCUAAGGCAUUAACAGCUGACUUGUGUUUCUCUAGUGUAGCCACAAGCCUAUGCUUCUUCUCUCCUUCAUGCUUCUUCCACACCUUGAUUUUCCUGUCAGCGGAACCAGUGUAAACAAUCCCAUCGGUGGACAGCACUAGUGCAUUGAUCGCGUCAUCAUGUGCCUUUUCCGCUGACUCCAGACAUCUGAAGUCGGUGGUUUUCCAAAUUUUGAACGUUCGAUCCCAGGAAGCGGAGUAUAGGAGAGAGCCAUCUUCUGACAAGGCUAAUGCAGAUAUGGUGUCAACGUGAUGAACCCAUGUGCAUUUCUUGUGCCUACGCACCUGUACAUAGUUACUGGCUGAAAAGAGUUUCAAGGCACGAUCACUCAGCGUUGGGAGUGUGGCCAUGCACUUGUAUUUUUGGUGAGGAGAAUCGUUGUCGACUUUCCACACUCUAAUUUUUUGAUCUUGGUGGGCACUGAAUAGUUUAUCUCCCAAAACCACCAGGGACUUCACCGCACCGUUGCCUAGAGCUACCCCGUUGUCGUUAGAAGUCUCUAGCCUCGAAGGAUCUCUGCUCCAUAUCCGAAUCUCCUUGUCGGAAGAGCCACUGUAGAGGAAUUUUCCGGCUAGGGCGAGGGAGAAGACAUAGGAGGAGUGGCCUUUGAGAGUGGAAAUGCAGUGGUGGUGGGUGGUGAUGGCUUGUUCAUGCCGUCGGGAUUGGGAGGUGAGAGAAGGAACAGAUGGUAGACUUGGUUGAGAAGCGAGAGAGUUUGAUGAUUCUGAAUGAAGGCAUGAAGAAUCUGAGUGAAGGUGAUGUGCUUGUGCUUGAGCUUGAGCUUGAGCUUGAGCUCGAGAUUGAGAUUCUUUCUCUUUAUGGCAAGACAAGGGACAUCGGAGAAAUCCCAUUCUCUCUCAAGCCUUUCGAGAGCGAGAAAGCAGCACUAGAAGACGAUGGGUGGGUGAGGAUAAACGUAACACGCUUAUAAAGAUGAUGAAAGGCGCGUAUUUUAGCACGAAGUGAACCUAGAGAGAGGGUAGCACAUUUUAGAAAAAGUAAAGUUGGGCCAAGGUGAACUAUUCAAUUUGAGGGGUUGGAGUCAGCCUGUGGCAAUCGGGUUGCAUCACUCGGAUAUCUAUGGCCAUGCGCAUCUCUCCAAAUUAAUUUACACUCCUCACACAUAACUUUUCCUGUAUUCUUUUUUCAGCCCAUUUGACGGGUGAUCAGCACCCUCUUUAUGGUGCCACUAGAUGUUGCGGAAAAUGCCAAGAUGUUUCCAUGGAAGAGCCGGACACAAGUUGCGAAAAUUCUUGAACAUUUUUUGUUUGGAUAUUAGGAUGGUUAGUGGUGUUCACAUCAAGUGCCGUGUCCCCACUAUUUUAUCAGAGUUACUUUUAGCUGGUCCUAGAACACCAUUCUUGCUGGCCCAAGCUCAUCCGUGGGUGGAUAGAUCGAGAUAUUUGGAUGUGGAAAAUAUGGAUCAAAGGAGACCCGUGUGGGCACCAUCUCAUUUGGUCUACAAACUCAUUAAUCUUCUUCAUCUAAGGUUACCCAUGGGAAGAUGCGGUCAGAUCGGGAUGUCCAAGUCCAACAGCUAGUGAUCGUUUUCUGAAUGGGAUUGUCAAGUUUCUACACUAUCCUCCCAAUCUGGUGGUGCUGGGGACCAGUUUGGCAGCUUAUGUAAGUUGAGAAACCUUUCUGUAUUGGCGUAAAUAAAUCUUAAAAAAAUGGAAUAUUAAAUAUAAAAGAUGAAAAAGAAAUGCAGUUUGGAGUCGUAAAUAAGGAAGGCUCCAAUGAAGGAGUGAGAAGUACGUGUUGAAGGAACCUCUCAUCCCUUGACAUUUUGGAUUUUUGAAAAGAGAGAAAUGUGUUUUCAACCCGUUGAAUAAUUGAGGUAAGAUCCUCCUAUAAGGUAGAAUCUCAAUUGGAGUUAUCUUUUACUUCUAAACUUCUAUUUCAUGAUAAUUAACUCGGGAGUAAAAGAUAAUCUUCCUAUCCCUAUGUAGUGGCAUCGGACUUAGUAAUGCCCCCUAAAUCAUGGGAAAGUCUGAUCAUUGGGCCAAGGCCUUAUAAAAAAAAGUAUAUAGCUGCUAAAUAUACUUACUAUUAAAGGUUGUCCCUGAAGCAAAAUGCGCGCUCCGCCUUACGCGUGAGCCAAUGUGCAAGAUUUAUAUUUAUGUCCUCAUUUAUUUGGUUAGAAAAUUGAAUCUUAUCAAUAAGUAAAAGUGACAUUUUCUUUCCUUUCUUUAUUUGAUUUUAUAUAAUUAAAUUUUACCAUCCGUACCAAGUGGCAUGUUGUACAGAGCUAUCCACUAGACUAUGCAACAUGUCGGCGGCAUAACUACUCAUUAUGAGUGUCAAAUAUCUGUGGGCGGACACUAAAAGGCGCAUGGGUCAUCCACAUUUGGAUUAUACGUGAUCAUCAUUUUAAAGGGCUUCAUGCCCCUCGCCCUUGCCUUGGCUCAAUCUGCUACAUGCAUUGAACACUAGCAGUGGCCUAAAUUUUUUGACACACCACAUCAAAGUCAACAGCUGAUGAACAAAACCAGGUGGAUGUCUAACGCGCAUUCAUUUGUAACCUGUGAAACCACCAAAGUUGUGCUAUCAAUCUAAAUUUCGGUUAUUAGUUGCUGUCGCUAUUUAAUUAUCACACUAUUCACAACCAUCGACUAAAGUUGUAUGAUUUAUUUACACAAUUAUUAAAAAAUAUAAUCAAUCAAAUCAAAUCAAAUGAUAUGAUUUGUGUUAUAUAUAUUACAUCUUACUUUCAUAAGUCCUUAUAUUAAUCCCUUUAUUUGCAUCUUAUCCCCUCUAAAUAUUUUACUGUUCAUUUUUAACAAUAGAGAUAGACAUCGAGAGUUUGAUAACUACCCUUUUAAUACUUAUGUUUUUCUUCUUUUAAUUUGGAUUGGAUUUUCACUAUCUUAUUUUAAAUUAUAUUUAACUCUAAAAAAAUAUUAAGAAAAAUUGAUUUCUUCUUAUUGAGUUUACUAUAAAAAAAUUCUAAAAAUAUUCGAAUAUAAUUAAAAUUAUAUAAAAAUUAAUGCAUUUUCAUAUUAUUUAAGUUAAAUAAAUAAAAUGAAUUUUAAAAAGUAACAUAUAAAUAUAAUUAAUUAAGUUUAAUUUUUUUUUUUUACUUUUCAUUUAUAUAUUAUUCCUUGUAUUUUUCUUUAAGCUAUUUUUUUCUUGAAAAAUUUAACAAAAAAUACAAAUAAAAAGAAAAUAAAAUACAUUAGAAAAAGAAAAAGUAAAAUGAAACAAAAUAUAUAUAUAUAUAUUUCAACCUUUGACUUAUUUUAAUUCAUCUAUACAAAUAAUUUAAAUAUAUAUAAAUUUUUAAUCAAUUUUAAUUAUAAUUUAUUUCUAUUUAUUUAUCAUGAUACAACAAAAAUAAGAAUUUUUUUUCCCUUUUUUUUCUUUCCACGUUACUUUCCUAACUAAGCAUAUCCUUCUUCACACUGAAAAGUUAGAAUUACGUGUGAAUUCUCAUUCCAGAAAGAAUCUCUUGAUGCAGUUCUUGGUCAAAGAAAUUAUGUUUCUUUUCCUCUGGUUCUACAAUUUUUUUCUUGGAUACUUCCUCAAUUGUCUGGUUAAAAACCAGUUUGAUCUUCAAGACUGGGUCCAAGGAACAUUUCUUCAAACCGAAAGCGCAAUGGUUUUACGGACAAAGAAAUAUAGAGCUGGCUGGCUAGUAAAGUCCGUCAACGACUGACCAAAAGGGUUUCUGUUGAACUCAAGACAGCUUAGACAGGAAAGGUUUUAGACCAACUAUAAAGGGCUCUUGUUUUAUGCACCCAGUUUUUCAACAAAGGCGUAUUUAAAAUCAAACCAAGAUGUUGAAUUACCCGGUUUUUCCAUCUUUUUGUGGGUUUGUUCGUAUACGGAAGGAGUGGAUGGGGCUGUAGAUCCUUUUCAAACCGAUAAAAUCCGGCUGCAAAUUGCAAAACCCUGCCUGCAACUUGCAGGACCCUUCCAAGUGUGCUGUCUGUGGGACCUAAAAGUGGAGAAUUGACCAUUACAUUUAGAAAGACCUGUGAUUCAACGAUGCGCAUUGCUUUUUCUUUUUAUUGUUACAAUGUGUACGUUCGAUAAAAUCUUGAUGGAUAAUGUGAAAUCUUAGCCAAGUCCGAAUCAUUCCCCUGGGAUUUUCUUUCUUUCAUAUGGACAGACAAUAUUAUUUCUUCCUGCUUUCUAGAAGACUGACGGGUAUGCCUUGUACAUAAAGUUUAUCCACACAAAAGUUGUACUUUCAAUUUUUUUAUUUUAUUUUACGUUAUUAUUGUUACUGCAUGGACAUAUAAAAAUAUUUUUCAAUUUGGAAUUUUUUUUUUAAAAUAGACAUAAUUCAUAUAAAAUAUAAUGAUUCCUUUGAGUUAUGACUCAACACCAAUGACGAAUUCAGGAGGAAUUUCAAGAAUUCUUGUUAUAUGCCAGGUCCAACCCUCAACUAUUUUUUUUUCUUCUAGAUUUAUCGAUAUGAAAUCAAUUGAAUGCACUUCUACCACUUAUUCCAUUUUCAGAAGAUCAUGUAUUAUGUCAUCAUAUCCUGAUUUUUUUCAUUUAUAAAUAUAAUUAAUAUUCAUGAAUGGUUGCUUUCAAAGUAGUUAAAUAAGGUUUAGCUGAUAUUAUUAUUAUAGAGUCAACUGAAACAAUUAGAACUUCAGGAUCCAUUUAGUCAUAAUUUUUAAAAUUUGUUUUUAAAAAUUAUUUUUUAUUUUUUAAUUUCAAAACAAUUUUUAAAAAUAAGUUUUAGAAAAGAUAUUCAAAUAGAUUAAUUUUUUUUUUUUUUGUCUUUAAAAUUUGGUAAAACCAACUUAUAUUUGUUUUCUAUUUUAUUUUGUUUUUAAAAAUUGUUUUUAGAGAGCAACAACUAAAUGAUGUUAGAAUUUUUUUAAAAUAAAUUUCUAUUUUUAAAAAUAGAAAAUUAUUUUUAAAUCAAACAAUCAAAUAUGCUCAAAAUUUUAAAAUGAUAAUGUGUAAGAGUGAGAGAGUUAAUUAAAAUGGAAAUUAUCACUUAAAAGAAAGAAAAAAAAGAACAAAUAAUAUAAAUUACAUACUCAUGAUAAAACAGAUUAUAACUCCUAAAGCAACACAUAUGGAACACAAAAUAUUCAUCACCAUAACUAUAUAUAUAAAAGGUAGAGAGAGGGAUAAGAUCUUCUCCACCAAUGAAAUUGGAUAGGUGAAAGAAGGCAACUAGACGAAGGAUGUGAUGACUUCGAAAGGCAAAAUAAAAUUGAUGACUUGCCAUCGAUGAGUAAGGUGAAAAGAUGGUGGAUAAAUGUGAAAUGGUUACUUUAUAGCUGUCAUGGAAUCCAUCAAAUAAUUAGAGCAGUAGAGAUUUGGAUGGUAUUGGUGGUGAGGGGUGCGUCAGCCCUCAGGAGGCCAAUUUCUAUGCCUUCCAGCACUGGCACCCCCAACCAAUUCAUCCAAGAUGAUAAUAUAUUAUCAAUAUCCAUCACUUAUGGUCUUCUCAUAUUUGAAUUUUACUGUUCCUCUCAAGAUAGAGGGCUAUUCAUCCAAGACUUUGUCUUCACUUAUGUCUCUUUAUGGGCUCCAGCAAACUCACGAAUGAAGAAUGACUAUGACUCCUGACCAUCUUGGUGUAGUGACUCCAUUGACAAAGGUAGAGAGAAUUUGGAAUGAUAAUGAGUAAAUGAUAACUAAUUCUACUGAUUUAUCUGCUUUCAUGUAGACUGAGUGUUGUAAGUGAACAUGGUGGGUUCUUAUUUCUUUAAGGUAAGAUGAUGCAUUUAAUAGACAUUAAUCACGCCUCAUGAUUUGGUAGAGGGCUCCAAGCUUAAUGAUAUAUCAUAAUAAAAAAAACACCUACAUAAUGGACACAAACCUCUUGACAAGUGAAAUUAUAUUAAUUUACAUCAUAAAAUAAUAAAAAUUAAAUUAAAUUAAGUUUAAACUCGAUAAUCCUUUUUGAUAUUGUGUUUGGGUACACAAAGACUAAAGAAAAAUCAAACCAUGUUAGCACGCCAUGAGGUGGUUGGAUUAAAUUGAAACCAACAUUGAAGGGAAGCAUGUCAUAUCAAUUGGGAAUUGGCCUAUUUGAGGGGGUGAAGUUAGGAACAAAAUAUAGGUGGUGAUAUGCAUUUCAGGAGGAAUUUAUAGAAUAAGAUGGAGUUGAUUUUUGAAAAUUGAAGAUAAAUAACAAUAAGAGCUAAUAAGAAUAUGGUGGUUCCAAAUUUUUUACCGAAGUGGUUAAUGGAAAUUGAGAGAAACAUUUGGCAUGUCAACAAAAGGAUAAGUAGUUGAAAGAAAUUGAGAAAGCAAAUCAAAAGAAAUUAGGAGAGCAAGUGUAGCACAUUAAGCCACGUUGUUUGCAUGCUUGAUAAAAUUUUAAUAUAAGUUGAAAAAGUAUUUAGUAGCAUUAGGAAGGUGGAGAUAUUUUUGAAGGUUAUGAAAGACAAAAGAUAUAUGACAGCUUAACAAGAGCACAAUAAUACGACAAUUGCAUUAGAAGGGGACUUUAUUAUGGAUUUUUUAAUAUAUAUAAGUAAAGGAAGACUUAAGGAAAAUUAUAUCUGCACAUCACAUCACAUCAAUUUAACCAAUGCUACUGUUAUGCGUUUUUAAUAUUUUCAUUAUUCAUCAUCAAGCUUCUUAUCUACUUUUAGAAAUAGGAUUAAAGUAGGGCUCAUCAUAGGUUAAGAGAAUGUCAAAUUGUUUGUUUCUAUUUGGUUUCUUCAAGGCUAAGUAUCCUCAUUAUAAUAUCCCCUUAUGCAACUUUUUAUGUGAGUUUUUAUCAAUGUUUUUAAGAUCAAAUCAGUCAUUGAAUUGAAAAAGUUACUGAUUCACGGUUCACUAGUCAAAUCGAUGGUCGAAUUGAUGAUGUCAUAAAUAAUUAAAUAUAUAAUUUAUAAAUUAUUAAAAUUUAAAAUAAUUAUAAAAAUAAAAAUAAUAUUUUAUAUAUUAUUUAAAAAUUAAAAUUUUAUUUGAAAAUCAGAAAAUUAGUUUCAAAUUAUAAAUAAAUCAAAAUUAUAAUAAAAAAAUAACACAUUAAAUAUAAAACAUAUAUAAAAAAACAUAUACCCUUCCUACAAUCCUCUUAAAUUUAAUUAAAUGCAUCGUUUUCACUCUAGAAGAGUUGUAUCUCCUAUAUCAGUUUCAAACAAACACCAACCAAACACUCCCAAAAUCAAUUAAAUAACCGGUCCUAAUUUGACACGAAACCUAAAUUCUUCCCCACAAAUCCAUUCAAAGAGGUAACCAACCAAGAUUCAUCGAAGAUUAAAAAUUCGAAAGAGAAAUAACGAAAUCCCUCAUUUCAACCUAAAUCUUCACCAAAGAUAUUACAUGAACAAGAUCUUCCUCUACUUCUUUACACAGAAGGGAAAAUAAAAAAUAAAUAAAAAACUGAAAGAAGAUGAUAUAAAGGAGAUGUGCACAAUUUUUCCUAAUUAUUAUUUUUUAAAACAACAGAGCAGAAACCAUUAACAUUACAUUUCCCAUCAUAUUACAACCCUUGCCCAUAAUUAACCCCAAAUUACACAGAUCAUACAAACACAAAGAUACAUACUAGUAAUUAUCCUCUUCUUUCGUCCCAAUCCUUUGUUUUUUCUUGAUUUUUCAUAUCUUUUUUCCAUUUAAAAAAAUCAUGGAAAAAUGGAUCUUUAAUUUGUGAAAGACGCGAUGGUGAGACGAAACGAAAUUAAUUCAGAUUCCAAUAGUCCAGGUUCAAAUCCGGGCAUAGAGAUCUGGAUUUGUAAUAGUUUGAUAAUUUCAUUUGUCAAUUGAGCCGGAGCGGUUUUCGAAGAUCUUUCGUUGCCCAGUCGUCAACGACAAGCGACACCUGCUUCUUCUUCGAAAAAAACGGUAACUGAAGAGAGCUCAAAGAAAAAUCAAUAUGGCGUCGUUUUGACACAAAAAACAAAAAAAAAAAAAAAAAUUAAAAAUUGAACUGUCUAGUUCACCAAUCGGACCGCCAAUUCAAUCGGUCCAAUUCCGAUUCAAUCACUUUUUGGGUCAAUUGACCGGACUGGACCGGAACCAUGACCAGCCGACGAUCAGACCAGUCCGAUUUUUAAAAUCAUGGUUUUUAUUCUUUAUGAUUUUUUUUAUCUGUUUUAGAUUAACAUGAUAAUCCCAUCAAUGUAAUGAGAAUGUUACUAUCCAUAAAAAAUAUAUUAUAAUUGGAUUAUUCUUUUAGCAUGGUAUUGUGUUGCAAUAGUUUCCUAUUCUAAUCAAUUCUAGUAUCCACUGCAAUAUCAAUGAGGAAGUAACGAUGUUAUGUCAACUAGCUUUGCACCCUUCAUAGUAUCACUACAGCCAAUCAAUGAAAGCUAGAUUGGAAUAAAAGCUCCAGUACUGAAUCACUAAAGUGGAAGAACGAUAUAAGAGAUGACUAUUCUAACAUGCAAUGUGUCGUCAAUAAAGCAUUAUUCCAAUGUCUUAGCCUCGUCAUGGCUUGAUGGCCAUAUUCCACUAAAACUAUUAAUAAUGCCAUUAUUUAAACAUUGAACAUGCCAUCUACGAAGUAUUAUUCUAGAGUCAUGGUAUCAUCAUGAUUUAGUUGAUGGAGCUACUAGUUUUGUUCUCAUAGUUCACUCAUUAGAAAUUUGAUAGUACGAGUCAUUGUUCCAAUAUUAAGCAUUUAACAAUAUUACAAACACCUUCGUAUAACCAUGGUCUGAUCAAUAGGACCAUUGAUUUGUAUUUCAAUACUCUAGUAUUAAUCCGUUAAAUAUUUGCUUAUAACAUUAUUCCAAAGCAACAUCAUUCAAAAACAACAUUACUCCAUAAUAGCAGCAUUCCAAAGCUAUUUUAGAAUGGCAAUAAUCAUGCAUCCUUAAAAACCAGGAAUAAGUUGGUGCAAUAUUCAUCUAUCUCAAUCCUAUAAUUGUUGUCAUCAUGGUAUGGGUUAUCCAUGAAGAAGGGUGGGAUGAUACGUUUCAUUUGAAAAAAAAAAAAAAUGACAAUGGCAAUAAUAAUAAUUUUAAAACUUAACCAACUGGCCGAUAGAAUACAAUAUGAUACCUUGUUCAACUUUUUGGUAUUGAUGGCUUGAAGAUAACAUUAAUGAUCAUGUUGUUAUCUGGCGAGACAUUUAAAAUGUGGUCAGGUUGAAAGUAUACCCUAAAACGUUACUCAUCAAUCAACCAAUACCAGAAUUUUCAUUUCCUACAAAAUUUUAAUUUAAAGCGCAUGGAGAAGAAAAACUAAACAAUAUCCCAACUUGCAUUAAUGUAUUUGACCCAAUUUGCAUGGGUGAAUCCCUCCAAUUUGUAAUGCCAUCAUCAUUGAAAGAUAACAUAAUUAAGAGCAACUUGGAAGUUCUUGGAACAUUAUAAUUUCCACUUCAAUUUUUUUUUUUCAGAGAGAAUAAAAAGAAUGAUUUCUGUUGUGACUUCUUUGUCCGUUUUCCCAACAAAAUGAGCAUAUAAUUUAAGAAUAUUUAAUUACUGCGUCCAUUCUCAGAGUUUGAGUAUUGAGAGUAGCAUCGCUGAAUUCAAAAUAUAAGACAUCAUCAUUAAGAGAGCAUGAUUGAGCCGGAGGGCUUGAAUAUUGAGUGCCAGGGCCUGCCUCACUAAGGUUGGGGUUUUUAUGACUGCCAUAGUGAUGUAAGCCCAUUGGAUGGGCCUUGUGGGAGUUUGGCCCGUGGAUUUUCGGUAGAGGCGGAAGAGGGCAUGGGCUUUUGUCUUUGAACCUUAAGACCCAACAAAUUCGAGUGGAACACUUGGCAUCCAGCAAACUCAAACAAUGCUUGAAACCCCAAAUCUGAAAAUUUUUAGAGAAAGAUAGAAGAUGUAGUUGGAAGCCACCUAAUGGUACAACUAGCAUGAGGAUAAAAGGGGCAGUGUAAGGUUCACAUGUUUCGUAUAGCAUAGCACAAUAGUACAUGACCCAAGUAUGGACAUAUGGUAAAUAUACUUUUUAUUAUCAUAAUUAAGUACUAGUAUUUGCCAAAACACAACAUUCAUUACCCUUGUUCUCUUGAAUACGACAUCUUCCACCCACAUUCCCCAAGAAUACACAGGUAAAGAUGCUGAUUUAAAUAUAUUAAAACUAUAUAUGGCAUGAGGUAAAAAUAAAAUAUAAUAUAUAUAUUUUAAGAUAUCGUAUUCAUAAAAUAUAAAUAUUUUAUAAUAUCAUUAUAAUGAAAUAUAAUAUUAUUAGAUAUUAUUUAUAUUAUAUAUAAUAUCUAAAGAUAUUAUAUUUAAUAGGAUGUGUUAUAUUAUGUUUAUAUUUUAUUAGUAAAAUGAAUAAAAAAAAUAUUUAAAGUUUAUAUGUUUGGUAUUUUUUAAAAUUAUUUAAUAAUUUAAAUUUUAGUAAAUAAUUAUUUAUUUAUUUAUUAUUAAAAUAUUUAAAAUUUAUAAAUAAAAAAUUUAUAUAUUAAAUAAUACAUAUAUUAGUAUUAUUUUAUAAUAAAAAGAUAAUAAAAUGGUGGGAGAAGAAGAAUGUGUUUGAUAAUGAUUUUAAAAAGUGUUUUUAAUCUUUUUAAUAUUUAAAAUUUUUUAUCUCUAUAAUAUUAAAAAUGUUAAAAACACUUCUUAAAAUCACUUUCAAAUAUAUUCGAACACAGAUUUCAUGAGUCAUAUGUUACGUAGCGUAGGAUAUCGGUGUAACUUUUCUAAAUUUUAUUAGUGAAACAAACACUAAAAUUGUUGGCAACGUACCACGUAAAACGUGUGAUAUUUGUACAAUUUGCCCUAUUAGUGAAACGAAAGCUAAAGUGGUCGGUAACCUCACCUCUCUAACGUUUGAAGGUGGUACCGAAGAAAAUUGGAGUGACGUGACACACAAAGCUUUGGCCGCCAGAAUUUUGGAAGCGUUAAUGAGAUUAGACUCCCUAAAUGAAUAGCCUCCAGUCCUUUUCUCUAGUUCGUUAAACAACUGUUUAACUUUAGCCACCCUCAAUGAUGGAUGGAAACAACACACACCCGCAGCCUCUGCCUGGAGGGCGGAGGGCCCAAUCUUAAUUUCUUUAAACAAGACAAAAGGAGGAGCCUUUUAAGGCCUAAACUAUUAAACUAUUGGCCCAACCCCACAAAAGACAAGUUGGAUAUGGACAGCACAGGAGAACUUUAUUUCUAUACGGAAUUAUGGCAAGUGAUUUUUUGCAAAGCUUUGGUGAUUCCCACAUCGGUCAUCUUCUAUUUGAAAAGACAAUUUACAGCCUGUGAUGAAAUACUGGGAAAAAAAGACAGAAAAAGAAACAAAAACAAAAAUCAGAGUCUGUGAUCACAUUUUCAGUUUUCCUAGUACUAAAAAUUAUAAACUGCAUAAACCUGUACUUUAUUUGCAGUAAGGAAAGCUGAUAAUCCUUCUGAAAAAUCAACAAAAAUCACUGAAUAAUAAUAUAUAUACUGUGAUGUAUGAACACAAAAUCAACUCUCAUACAUCACACGUGUAUGCGUAUACCACUAUCUAAAAAUAAAAAAUUAAAAAAAAAUUAAUUACAAAGCUCACAACAUCAACAAACCAAAUCCAACGGCCAAAAGGAUCCCAAAACUCCACCGUGGAGCUGCAGUGUAGGCCCCGCUAUUAUUAGUGGUUUCGCUCUCCUGAGACGGCGACGUAGAGGAACCAUUGUAAUUGGGAUUACUGCCGUACAAUUCCUGAAUCCCCUGAAUGUCAUCACUAGCAAGCUCCACCUUCUUUGUCCGUGAGGUGAUCGUUGGGUACAUGAUCGCUUCUUCUACCGACGAGUGCCCUAACCCAAGCAGAUGCCCAAUCUCGUGAACCGCCACGGAUUCCAGGUCGAUCGCCGAAGAUAUAGACGAUGUUGUGACGUCGCCUGUAGCUACCCAAUUCUCCUCGCCGUCCAAGUGGAACCGUCCGUUCGUAGGAGAGAAGGCGUGUGCUAGGGUUCCCAAUACUCCGUCGAAAGCCUCUCCGUCGCCGUGGUCUCCGGUGUAGAAUGCAAUCCUGAGAUCGGCGGAGUAAUACGAAUCACUUUCCGUGAAAGUCAAGGGCGUUACUGCCGCCCACCGCUCAAAUGCGCUUGUGAACACGGCCUUGACGGUGUCCGACAACUGAUUGUCUGGCAGAAACCCGUACGUCAGAUUACGCUUUGACUCCGGCCAGACAGGCUUGCCAUCGAAGAAGCUGUAGUGACCGACGGUGUGGAAAUGGCCGCUGGUCGACGGCGUGGAUUUACCGGAAUUCAUGGAACUGGAGCCGUUUUCUAUGUCAGCAUUGCCGCAUCUGGGACUCACAAUCUGAUUUAGGGUGGCUUCGUCGAGUUGUCCCGUGGUAUUGAGAUUGAAAUUGAGUUGAUAAGUCUUGAGAGCCUGUUCAAAAGCAUCGUCGAAGUCAUCAGUGUAGUUGGAAUUGUGGAUGUAGCCAAAGUAGUGGAAGUACUCUUUGAGCUUGGCUAAGCCGUCGGCUUUAUCUCCAGCAUGACACCCAGCGAACUUCUUGAAUGCAUCCCAGCCGCUCGUGGUGGCGUUGGGCGGUGACGACGGAGGCAUAGAUGGUGCAUUUGGGAAGAAACGCGCAGAGACUGAUGUCGUGAGAAGUGGAAGAAAAAUUGCAGCACAGAGAACAUGAAAUCUCAUGUUCGUUUGUUUGUGUGAUGAAAGCAUACAGAGAAAGAGGGGAUGAUUGGUUUGAUAGAAAAUUGGCUGAAAAUUUCAAGGCCUGAGGGAUGCGGACUU